RNAcentral lists this ribosomal RNA (1113 nucleotides) under Triticum aestivum (bread wheat). RNAcentral's name for it is "partial small subunit ribosomal RNA". Lineage: Eukaryota; Viridiplantae; Streptophyta; Magnoliopsida; Poales; Poaceae. The record is from RNAcentral.
AUGUCGACCGCCUCCUCCGAGUCCUCUCCCGCGGCCUAUGACCGCACGGCUGAGCUCCACGCGCUGGACACCACCUACGCCGGCGUGCGUGGCCUCAUCGCGUCCGGCGUCACCCAUGUCCCGCGCAUCUUUCGCGUCCCCGACCAGCACCAUGAGCCACGGCAGGACGGCACCGUCCCCGCCGGCCAAGAACCGGCAGCCAUUCCGAUAAUCGACCUCGGGUGCGGUGACCACACGGCCGUGGUGGCUGCCGUCCGGCGGGCCGCGGCGCAGUGGGGGUUCUUCAAGGUGACCGGCCACGGCGUGCCUGAGGACACGAUGGCCAUGGCGAUGGACGCUGUGCGGGCAUUCCACGAGGCCGAUGGUGGCGAGGGCAGCGACAAGGCGCGGCUCUACUCGCGUGAGCCGGCGAGGGCGGUCAAGUAUCACUGCAACUUCGACCUGUAUCAGUCGCCCGUGGCCAACUGGCGCGACACGCUCUACGUCCGCAUGGCGCCCACCCCACCUGAUGCCGGUGAUCUGCCGGACAACUGCCGCAAUGCGUUGUUUGACUAUGCCCACCAAGUGAAGAGUUUGGGGAACACUUUGUUCGAGCUGCUCUCGGAAGCUCUUGGGCUCAAACCGAGCCACCUGACAGAUAUAGAGUGCAACCAAGGACAAGUCUUACUAUGUCACUAUUACCCUCCUUGCCCACAGCCUGAACUCGCCAUCGGGACAAGCCGACAUUCAGAUGGUGGCUUCCUGACCAUACUUCUCCAAGACGAAAUCGGCGGCCUUCAGAUCUUCAGCGAGGAUCAGUGGGUAGACGUCGCGCCAACGCCCGGGGCAUUCAUUGUUAACAUCGGUGAUCUCUUACAGUUGAUCUCCAAUGAUGGGUUUAGGAGCGUGGAACAUAGGGUUUUGGCGAAGAACGUUGCUCCACGGGUCUCGAUUGCAAACUUCUUCGGAACGCACAUCAAUCCGACAUCGACAAGGAUUUACAGUCCAAUUAAGGAGUUGUUGUCUGACGAGAACCUACCAUUAUAUAGGGAAACCCUUGCUGGUGAUUAUAUCAAACAUUACUACUCCAUUGGGUUAGAUGCGAAAACUGCUCUUUCUCAUUACCGAUUAUGA